RNAcentral lists this ribosomal RNA (481 nucleotides) under uncultured bacterium. RNAcentral describes it as "partial 16S ribosomal RNA". It matches the Rfam family "Bacterial small subunit ribosomal RNA", at positions 28 to 507 of the family's 1533-position model. The record is from RNAcentral.
GAUGAACGCUGGCGGCGUGCUUAACACAUGCAAGUCGAACGAAGCAUUUGCGACAGAUUUUUUCGGAAUGAAGUUGCUUAUGACUGAGUGGCGGACGGGUGAGUAACGCGUGGGUAACCUGCCUUGUACUGGGGGAUAGCAGCUGGAAACGGCUGGUAAUACCGCAUAAGCGCACAAUGUUGCAUGACAUGGUGUGAAAAACUCCGGUGGUAUAAGAUGGACCCGCGUCUGAUUAGCUAGUUGGUGAGAUAACAGCCCACCAAGGCGACGAUCAGUAGCCGACCUGAGAGGGUGACCGGCCACAUUGGGACUGAGACACGGCCCAGACUCCUACGGGAGGCAGCAGUGGGGAAUAUUGCACAAUGGAGGAAACCCUGAUGCAGCGACGCCGCGUGAGUGAAGAAGUAAUUCGUUAUGUAAAGCUCUAUCAGCAGGGAAGAUAGUGACGGUACCUGACGAAGAAGCUCCGGCUAAAUACGUG